Molecule: ribosomal RNA, 467 nt
Filed under: uncultured bacterium
Lineage: Bacteria
Description: partial 16S ribosomal RNA
Rfam family: Bacterial small subunit ribosomal RNA
Source: RNAcentral
GACGAACGCUGGCGGCGUGCUUAACACAUGCAAGUCGAGCGGAAAGGCCCUGCUUUUGUGGGGUGCUCGAGUGGCGAACGGGUGAGUAGCACGUGAGUAACCUGCCCUUGACUUUGGGAUAACUUCAGGAAACUGGGGCUAAUACCGGAUAGGAGCUCCUGCUGCAUGGUGGGGGUUGGAAAGUUUCGGCGGUUGGGGAUGGACUCGCGGCUUAUCAGCUUGUUGGUGGGGUAGUGGCUUACCAAGGCUUUGACGGGUAGCCGGCCUGAGAGGGUGACCGGCCACAUUGGGACUGAGAUACGGCCCAGACUCCUACGGGAGGCAGCAGUGGGGAAUAUUGCACAAUGGGCGGAAGCCUGAUGCAGCAACGCCGCGUGCGGGAUGACGGCCUUCGGGUUGUAAACCGCUUUCGCCUGUGACGAAGCGUGAGUGACGGUAAUGGGGAAAGAAGCACCGGCUAACUACGU